This 254-nucleotide ribosomal RNA is filed under the name uncultured bacterium. Its description in RNAcentral is "partial 16S ribosomal RNA". It matches the Rfam family "Bacterial small subunit ribosomal RNA", at positions 524 to 776 of the family's 1533-position model. The record is from RNAcentral.
UACGUAGGGGGCAAGCGUUACCCGGAUUUACUGGGUGUAAAGGGAGCGUGGACGGCUGUGCAAGCCAGAUGUGAAAGCCCGGGGCUCAACCCCCGGGACUGCAUUUGGAACUGCGUGGCUUGAGUGUCGGAGAGGCAGGCGGAAUUCCUAGUGUAGCGGUGAAAUGCGUAGAUAUUAGGAGGAACACCAGUGGCGAAGGCGGCCUGCUGGACGAUGACUGACGUUGAGGCUCGAAAGCGUGGGGAGCAAACAGG